AUUGAACGCUAGCGGCAGGCCUAACACAUGCAAGUCGAGCGGAUGAAGGGAGCUUGCUCCUGGAUUCAGCGGCGGACGGGUGAGUAAUGCCUAGGAAUCUGCCUGGUAGUGGGGGAUAACGUCCGGAAACGGGCGCUAAUACCGCAUACGUCCUGAGGGAGAAAGUGGGGGAUCUUCGGACCUCACGCUAUCAGAUGAGCCUACGUCGGAUUAGCUAGUUGGUGGGGUAAAGGCCUACCAAGGCGACGAUCCGUAACUGGUCUGAGAGGAUGAUCAGUCACACUGGAACUGAGACACGGUCCAGGCUCCUACGGGAGGCAGCAGUGAGGAAUCUUGGACAAUGGGCGAAAGCCUGAUCCAGGCAUGCCGCGUGUGUGAAGAAGGUCUUCGGAUUGUAAAGAACUUUAAGUUAGGAGAAAGGACAGUAAGUUAAUACCUUGCUGUUUUGACGUUACCAACAGAAUAAGCACCGGCUAACUUCGUG
RNAcentral lists this ribosomal RNA (484 nucleotides) under uncultured bacterium. RNAcentral's name for it is "partial 16S ribosomal RNA". It matches the Rfam family "Bacterial small subunit ribosomal RNA", at positions 30 to 507 of the family's 1533-position model. The record is from RNAcentral.